This 527-nucleotide ribosomal RNA is filed under the name Macrobrachium grandimanus. RNAcentral's name for it is "partial 16S ribosomal RNA". It matches the Rfam family "Bacterial large subunit ribosomal RNA", at positions 1832 to 2620 of the family's 2925-position model. The record is from RNAcentral. Lineage: Eukaryota; Metazoa; Arthropoda; Malacostraca; Decapoda; Palaemonidae.
UGUGAAUUAAUUAUAAAGUCUAGCCUGCCCACUGAUGAUUUAAAGGGCCGCGGUAAUUUGACCGUGCGAAGGUAGCAUAGUCAGUAGUCUUUUAAUUGAAGGCUUGAAUGAAAGGUUGGACGAGGGAUAAGCUGUCUCUUACGUGUAACUUGAAUUUGACUUUUAAGUGAAAAGGCUUAAAUUAUUUAGAGGGACGAUAAGACCCUAUAAAACUUUACAUGAAUUCAGUUUGAUUCUGUGAGCUGAUGUGAAAAACAAUCCUGCUUAAUUCAUGUUUCGUUGGGGAGACGAAUAUAUAAUUUGUAACUGUCUGUUUAAUUAAAUAGUGAUAGUUAGUAUCUGAUCCCUCUAUGAGGAUUAAAAGAAUAAGUUACUUUAGGGAUAACAGCGUGAUUUUCUUUGAGAGUUCUUAUCGACAAGAGUAGUUGCGACCUCGAUGUUGAAUUAAAAUUUUAGCUAGGUGUAGCCGUUUAGCUGGUGGGUCUGUUCGACCUUUAAAAUUUUACAUGAUUUGAGUUCAAACCGGU